Oncorhynchus tshawytscha (Chinook salmon) is the source of this 370-nucleotide long non-coding RNA. The record is from Ensembl. NCBI's taxonomy places the organism in Eukaryota, Metazoa, Chordata, Actinopteri, Salmoniformes, Salmonidae.
AGAGAGAGAGAGUGAAAGGGCCCGAGAGACAGAGUAUUGGUGGUGGUGGAGUUAAAAGACUACAAUUGACCAGUUCUUAAAGGGACAAACUCCAUGCUGGUCUGGGGAUGUCAGUUCAGGUCACAUGAUGCAGGGAUGUACUUAAUUGACUGUGGGGAACCCGAACCGUUGCUGAAUGGAGGGGUGACGUUCAUAUCUAGCUCUCAGAACCAGCAUCUCUCAGUCAUUUAGUACCACUGCAAUGAGCUGUACUACACUCUCUCUAAAAGAGUUAAUGUGUGUGGACUUCUUACAGUGAACCACCCAGGGAUUGUAAGGAUUGUUGGGGGAAAGCCAGCACCAGCUGGAUGCUUCCCCUGGCAGGUGUUGC